Molecule: transfer RNA, 81 nt
Organism: Ipomoea nil (Japanese morning glory)
Lineage: Eukaryota; Viridiplantae; Streptophyta; Magnoliopsida; Solanales; Convolvulaceae
Rfam family: tRNA
About the family: Transfer RNA (tRNA) molecules are approximately 80 nucleotides in length. Their secondary structure includes four short double-helical elements and three loops (D, anti-codon, and T loops).
Source: Rfam
GUUGUUUUAGCCGAGUGAUAAGGGCUUGUGCCUGUUAAGUAAAUGCGUUUCCCAACGAGAGUCCAAAUCUCUCAAGCAACG